AGGCUGCAGACCUUUGAUAUCACUGGAGAGGGCUCCAGCUGGCCAUUUGGCCAUAGCCUCAGGGGCUGAUUCAACUAAGCCAGGUCUGGCAUCCGAAUUCAGUUCCUUGGGAUUGUGGGACUGAAGAUCCUUCUAAUCAUCAGCCGAGGGUCGUCCUCAGAUUAUAGAAGCUGCCUCCCUUCCUUGCCCUGUGGCCCCUUCCAUCUCCAAGCAAGUACAAGAUUAUCUUCUUUGUAUCAAAUCCCUCUCACACUUCAAGUCUCUUUUGAAGAGCCUCAUCUCUUUUCAAAACUGACCUGAUCAAGUAGGGUUGGUACACCUUCUAAAGAGCUGUGGAUGGAGGAAGCCAUUGACUAAUGUGACCAAGACUUACUUGGACUCCUGGAAAAGCAAAAUUCCAGCCAGGCCCAUCCAUCAGCCCACACAGAGCUCCCUCUGCACUUAUUUCAAAUAAAGUUCUGUGGAAAUGUAAGGAGGAAGUGGAUCUACAGAAACUAGAAAUCCAAAUGUAACAGUUCGUCUACUAGAGGAGAAGAGCUAGAUCAGGAACCUAGUGAUGGGCAUGGGAGUAGGGUGGGCAGCAGGAGCAGGAGCAAAAACGCAUGCCUUCCUGAUUGUGGGUCAUUAUAGGCCUUUAUGCAGCAAACACUAGCUACAGCCUUAAUAGAUAUGUUUUCACACAUUAAAUAACAUGUUUCACACAUUAGAUAACAUGUUUUCACAUAUGUAUAUCACUGGUUUUUCAAACACAUUUGGAAGCUAUA
Long non-coding RNA from Cervus elaphus (red deer), 764 nucleotides. RefSeq lists it as uncharacterized. Lineage: Eukaryota; Metazoa; Chordata; Mammalia; Artiodactyla; Cervidae. The transcript is spliced from 3 exons. The record is from RefSeq and is a predicted model, not a curated record.